RNAcentral lists this ribosomal RNA (1413 nucleotides) under uncultured Staphylococcus sp. Its description in RNAcentral is "bacterial SSU rRNA". It matches the Rfam family "Bacterial small subunit ribosomal RNA". Lineage: Bacteria; Bacillati; Bacillota; Bacilli; Caryophanales; Staphylococcaceae. The record is from RNAcentral.
GCAAGUCGAGCGAACGGACGAGAAGCUUGCUUCUCUGAUGUUAGCGGCGGACGGGUGAGUAACACGUGGAUAACCUACCUAUAAGACUGGGAUAACUUCGGGAAACCGGAGCUAAUACCGGAUAAUAUUUUGAACCGCAUGGUUCAAAAGUGAAAGACGGUCUUGCUGUCACUUAUAGAUGGAUCCGCGCUGCAUUAGCUAGUUGGUAAGGUAACGGCUUACCAAGGCAACGAUGCAUAGCCGACCUGAGAGGGUGAUCGGCCACACUGGAACUGAGACACGGUCCAGACUCCUACGGGAGGCAGCAGUAGGGAAUCUUCCGCAAUGGGCGAAAGCCUGACGGAGCAACGCCGCGUGAGUGAUGAAGGUCUUCGGAUCGUAAAACUCUGUUAUUAGGGAAGAACAUAUGUGUAAGUAACUGUGCACAUCUUGACGGUACCUAAUCAGAAAGCCACGGCUAACUACGUGCCAGCAGCCGCGGUAAUACGUAGGUGGCAAGCGUUAUCCGGAAUUAUUGGGCGUAAAGCGCGCGUAGGCGGUUUUUUAAGUCUGAUGUGAAAGCCCACGGCUCAACCGUGGAGGGUCAUUGGAAACUGGAAAACUUGAGUGCAGAAGAGGAAAGUGGAAUUCCAUGUGUAGCGGUGAAAUGCGCAGAGAUAUGGAGGAACACCAGUGGCGAAGGCGACUUUCUGGUCUGUAACUGACGCUGAUGUGCGAAAGCGUGGGGAUCAAACAGGAUUAGAUACCCUGGUAGUCCACGCCGUAAACGAUGAGUGCUAAGUGUUAGGGGGUUUCCGCCCCUUAGUGCUGCAGCUAACGCAUUAAGCACUCCGCCUGGGGAGUACGACCGCAAGGUUGAAACUCAAAGGAAUUGACGGGGACCCGCACAAGCGGUGGAGCAUGUGGUUUAAUUCGAAGCAACGCGAAGAACCUUACCAAAUCUUGACAUCCUUUGACAACUCUAGAGAUAGAGCCUUCCCCUUCGGGGGACAAAGUGACAGGUGGUGCAUGGUUGUCGUCAGCUCGUGUCGUGAGAUGUUGGGUUAAGUCCCGCAACGAGCGCAACCCUUAAGCUUAGUUGCCAUCAUUAAGUUGGGCACUCUAAGUUGACUGCCGGUGACAAACCGGAGGAAGGUGGGGAUGACGUCAAAUCAUCAUGCCCCUUAUGAUUUGGGCUACACACGUGCUACAAUGGACAAUACAAAGGGCAGCGAAACCGCGAGGUCAAGCAAAUCCCAUAAAGUUGUUCUCAGUUCGGAUUGUAGUCUGCAACUCGACUACAUGAAGCUGGAAUCGCUAGUAAUCGUAGAUCAGCAUGCUACGGUGAAUACGUUCCCGGGUCUUGUACACACCGCCCGUCACACCACGAGAGUUUGUAACACCCGAAGCCGGUGGAGUAACCUUUUAGGAGCU